GACGAACGCUGGCGGCGUGCUUAACACAUGCAAGUCGAACGGAAAGGCCCUGCUUUUGUGGGGUGCUCGAGUGGCGAACGGGUGAGUAACACGUGAGUAGCCUGCCCUUGACUUUGGGAUAACUUCAGGAAACUGGGGCUAAUACCGGAUAGGAGCUCCUGCUGCAUGGUGGGGGUUGGAAAGUUUCGGCGGUUGGGGAUGGACUCGCGGCUUAUCAGCUUGUUGGUGGGGUAGUGGCUUACCAAGGCUUUGACGGGUAGCCGGCCUGAGAGGGUGACCGGCCACAUUGGGACUGAGAUACGGCCCAGACUCCUACGGGAGGCAGCAGUGGGGAAUAUUGCACAAUGGGCGGAAGCCUGAUGCAGCAACGCCGCGUGCGGGAUGACGGCCUUCGGGUUGUAAACCGCUUUCACCUGUGACGAAGCGUGAGUGACGGUAAUGGGUAAAGAAGCACCGGCUAACUACGUG
Molecule: ribosomal RNA, 468 nt
Filed under: uncultured bacterium
Lineage: Bacteria
Description: partial 16S ribosomal RNA
Rfam family: Bacterial small subunit ribosomal RNA
Source: RNAcentral